GAUGAACGCUGGCGGCGUGCCUAAUACAUGCGAGUCGAGCGAACGGACGAGAAGCUUGCUUCUCUGAUGUUAGCGGCGGACGGGUGAGUAACACGUGGAUAACCUACCUAUAAGACUGGGAUAACUUCGGGAAACCGUAGCUAAUACCGGAUAAUAUUUUGAACCGCAUGGUUCAAAAGUGAAAGACGGUCUUGCUGUCACUUAUAGAUGGAUCCGCGCUGCAUUAGCUAGUUGGUAAGGUAACAGCUUACCAAGGCAACGAUGCAUAGCCGACCUGAGAGGGUGAUCGGCCACACUGGAACUGAGACACGGUCCAGACUCCUACGGGAGGCAGCAGUAGGGAAUCUUCCGCAAUGGGCGAAAGCCUGACGGAGCAACGCCGCGUGAGUGAUGAAGGUCUUCGGAUCGUAAAACUCUGUUAUUAGGGAAGAACAUAUGUGUAAGUAACUGUGCACAUCUUGACGGUACCUAAUCAGAAAGCCACGGCUAACUACGUG
Molecule: ribosomal RNA, 497 nt
Filed under: uncultured bacterium
Lineage: Bacteria
Description: partial 16S ribosomal RNA
Rfam family: Bacterial small subunit ribosomal RNA
Source: RNAcentral